This 28-nucleotide non-coding RNA is filed under the name Homo sapiens (human). The record is from RNAcentral. Lineage: Eukaryota; Metazoa; Chordata; Mammalia; Primates; Hominidae.
UCCCUAUCGUUGGGGAUGCUCUCCAAGC